UGUCGUUUGUGUCCUUGGACUGCAAUGAACAUUGUUUUCUUCCACAAAUUUAGGGCUCCUUCCUUCCCUUGUUGGUUGAGCUGAAUUUGAGUUUUGGUCCAUCAGAGAUGCGAAAUCAAGGGGAAACAGAGAAUGGAUUAUGGCUGCCCCUUUGCCAUUUAUGGCAACCCCGACGCUAAUCAAGCCAAUUAGACUCUCCUUCAUCGCCUCUAGCCUCCAAAUAACACCUCCCAGCUGUCAGUUUUGCCGAGAAUUGAAGAAGAAGAAGAAGAAGAAUCCACCAACAUGUUUUGUGCCAUUUCUGAUAACUCCAAUGCCGACCAAGC
This 326-nucleotide unclassified non-coding RNA is filed under the name Hevea brasiliensis (rubber tree). The record is from RNAcentral. Lineage: Eukaryota; Viridiplantae; Streptophyta; Magnoliopsida; Malpighiales; Euphorbiaceae.